GGGCUUGUAGCUCAGUUGGUAGAGCGUUCGCUUAGCAUCUCAAAUGCGAGAGGUCCAGGGUUCGAUUCCCUGCAAGUCCA
This is a non-coding RNA of Hypoxylon sp. CO27-5, 80 nucleotides long. The record is from the annotation of a GenBank genome assembly. NCBI's taxonomy places the organism in Eukaryota, Fungi, Ascomycota, Sordariomycetes, Xylariales, Hypoxylaceae.